CCUAAGGUAGCGAAAUUCCUUGUCGGGUAAGUUCCGACCUGCACGAAUGGCGUAACGAUGGCGGCGCUGUCUCCACCCGAGACUCAGUGAAAUUGAAAUCGCUGUGAAGAUGCAGUGUAUCCGCGGCUAGACGGAAAGACCCCGUGAACCUUUACUGUAGCUUUGCACUGGACUUUGAGCCUGCUUGUGUAGGAUAGGUGGGAGGCUUUGAAGCGUGGACGCCAGUUCGCGUGGAGCCAUCCUUGAAAUACCACCCUGGCAUGCUUGAGGUUCUAACUCUGGUCCGUGAUCCGGAUCGAGGACAGUGUAUGGUGGGCAGUUUGACUGGGGCGGUCUCCUCCUAAAGAGUAACGGAGGAGUACGAAGGUGCGCUCAGACCGGUCGGAAAUCGGUCGCAGAGUAUAAAGGCAAAAGCGCGCUUGACUGCGAGACAGACACGUCGAGCAGGUACGAAAGUAGGUCUUAGUGAUCCGGUGGUUCUGUAUGGAAGGGCCAUCGCUCAACGGAUAAAAGGUACUCCGGGGAUAACAGGCUGAUACCGCCCAAGAGUUCAUAUCGACGGCGGUGUUUGGCACCUCGAUGUCGGCUCAUCACAUCCUGGGGCUGAAGCCGGUCCCAAGGGUAUGGCUGUUCGCCAUUUAAAGUGGUACGCGAGCUGGGUUUAGAACGUCGUGAGACAGUUCGGUCCCUAUCUGCCGUGGACGUUUGAGAUUUGAGAGGGGCUGCUCCUAGUACGAGAGGACCGGAGUGGACGAACCUCUGGUGUUCCGGUUGUCACGCCAGUGGCAUUGCCGGGUAGCUAUGUUCGGAAAAGAUAACCGCUGAAAGCAUCUAAGCGGGAAACUUGCCUCAAGAUGAGAUCUCACUGGGAACUUGAUUCCCCUGAAGGGCCGUCGAAGACUACGACGUUGAUAGGCUGGGUGUGUAAGCGUUGUGAGGCGUUGAGCUAACCAGUACUAAUUGCCCGUGAGGCUUGACCAUAUAACACCCAAACA
RNAcentral lists this ribosomal RNA (995 nucleotides) under Pseudomonas aeruginosa. RNAcentral's name for it is "partial 23S ribosomal RNA". It matches the Rfam family "Bacterial large subunit ribosomal RNA", at positions 1950 to 2925 of the family's 2925-position model. Lineage: Bacteria; Pseudomonadati; Pseudomonadota; Gammaproteobacteria; Pseudomonadales; Pseudomonadaceae. The record is from RNAcentral.